GAACUUAGCGAAGACGCACAUGUUUUGGAUUAAGAUGUAUGAAAACAACUCAGAGUGAUUUAAAAUCCAAUGUUGAUUGUUCGGUUGCGAUGGUCGAAGUUGCAGUUGACAAAAAAAAAUCAUUUGUGAUUUGAAAAGCAGAAAAAAGUUUUCAACCACUUUAUCUUUUCUUCUAGAAAUCAUUACGGAAACCGGGUAAAAUUUUAAAUUUCCUUUUGUUUGUUUUUUUUUCAGGUUGGUUUCCACCGAAUGCAGCGUAGAUUUUAAGCCACUCGGAUCGGUUAAAGUCCCGGCUGAGCACCUAACGCCCUCCAGGACCGAGAAUGUUAUCCGGAAAUUCUAUUGGCUCAGGAGAACGAUGCUUCUCAUCGUACGGCAGGAAGUGUUGAUUAUCAACUACGGCGAAAAUGCGAUGGGUAUAUUCCCGCCGGAUGUCUUUUUCGGUCAGAUAAACAUUGGCCAGUUCCAGCUCUAAUCCCAUCUCCAGAUCCUGGAAUAGGCAGUGUUUUUUCCGAGAAAUAUCGGUCAAUCGCCAGGUUUCAAGUUGAACGCUCCUGGCCAACCCAUUAGAGCAGCCUCGACUCUAUGAAAUGCUACCGAAGGACAACUGUAUCCAGAAAAAUAUCGAGCACUUACUAACAGGUGUUGAGUGAGCUACAGCUGGUAUAGCUGUAGACCUGGUUCAUCCACAUCAAACUCGUUUCCGGUUCCUACUCGUAACGAAUAUGUGGAAAGUGAUUAUUCGGAUGGAAACCAAACAACAUCUUUCAUCGUUAUUAAGGAUCGAAACCGUACGAACUAAAAGAAAUCGCGAUAGCUAAUAAGAUUGUGGCGAUGACGAGGAUGAUGGUAAGCCGGAUGAUAAGGAUCUCAUGCCACAGCUGAGCGCACCGAUAAGUGAUGUAGCGUUUCGAAGGUGGAGGCGGUCGUUUCAAACUGGCCAAAAUCAACUCACUUUCUUGUUUGUCAUGUUGGAUUCCACCGGAUGCGGCCAAGGGAUCGGUGGAAAUUCGUCUGUUGGCAGGAGGGGAACGAUACUCCUACUCGUCAACAGGAAAAAAAUGCUGCUUGCCACUCGCUAAAUUCGACGAGAAAAAAAGGCGACGGUGAAUAAAAGUAUUUUCAUGUAGUUGUUUAAAUUUACUUAAUUCGAUCCGUAAUUUCACUUUUUUCAUUACAAAAAAUAUAAGCCCUUUCGAA
This is a long non-coding RNA of Uranotaenia lowii, 1200 nucleotides long. RefSeq lists it as uncharacterized. The record is from RefSeq and is a predicted model, not a curated record. NCBI's taxonomy places the organism in Eukaryota, Metazoa, Arthropoda, Insecta, Diptera, Culicidae. The transcript has 3 exons.